RNAcentral lists this ribosomal RNA (650 nucleotides) under uncultured Bacteroides sp. RNAcentral's name for it is "bacterial SSU rRNA". It matches the Rfam family "Bacterial small subunit ribosomal RNA", at positions 71 to 715 of the family's 1533-position model. Lineage: Bacteria; Pseudomonadati; Bacteroidota; Bacteroidia; Bacteroidales; Bacteroidaceae. The record is from RNAcentral.
GGUCUUAGCUUGCUAAGGCCGAUGGCGACCGGCGCACGGGUGAGUAACACGUAUCCAACCUUCCGUCUACUCUUGGACAGCCUUCUGAAAGGAAGAUUACUACAAGAUGGCAUCAUGAGUCCGCAUGUUCACAUGAUUAAAGGUAUUCCGGUAGACGAUGGGGAUGCGUUCCAUUAGAUAGUAGGCGGGGUAACGGCCCACCUAGUCUUCGAUGGAUAGGGGUUCUGAGAGGAAGGUCCCCCACAUUGGAACUGAGACACGGUCCAAACUCCUACGGGAGGCAGCAGUGAGGAAUAUUGGUCAAUGGGCGAGAGCCUGAACCAGCCAAGUAGCGUGAAGGAUGACUGCCCUAUGGGUUGUAAACUUCUUUUAUAAAGGAAUAAAGUCGGGUAUGGAUACCCGUUUGCAUGUACUUUAUGAAUAAGGAUCGGCUAACUCCGUGCCAGCAGCCGCGGUGAUACGGAGGAUCCGAGCGUUAUCCGGAUUUAUUGGGUUUAAAGGGAGCGUAGAUGGAUGUUUAAGUCAGUUGUGAAAGUUUGCGGCUCAACCGUAAAAUUGCAGUUGAUACUGGAUAUCUUGAGUGCAGUUGAGGCAGGCGGAAUUCGUGGUGUAGCGGUGAAAUGCUUAGAUAUCACGAAGAACUCCGAUUG